GGUCUUAUCUUGAAAUAUGUGAGGGCAGAGUAGACCUUGGUGGCUAACCAUUUCCCAGAACACAGAAGGGUAAGUGUGUUUUUAAAUUAUCCAACUGUUUCUGAGCCCACAAGGCUCAGGUAAAGUUUCACCUCAUUGCCACUCAAAUUUUUCUCUCUACUCCAAAUUCCAAAGGAAAAUCUUGCAAAACAAGGCAGUUCUUUGGUGUCCUGCUGGAGACACCAUGGUCCUAAUGUUUUCCUCAGCCUCUUCUGGUGGACUCCUCCAUCAUCAGGGAGCCAUCAGAGUGGGAAAAAGCCAGCAAGUUUUACAAACUAAGAGAGAUUUUCUGUCUCAGAUUGGAUCCAUUUCUUUACUGGCCAUACCAGCUCUGCAGGGAGCCACUUCUUGCUAAAAAGCCCCGAACCACCACUUGUUCUUCAUGGCCCAUGACAGAAACUUUCUUCACAAAUGUUGUUCUGGCUGUUGACCAUGCUUAGACAGCUCUUACUGCAGGUGUGAAUCAUUUGGAAGCUUUUUCUCUCAUGUCCUGGGAAGAUUCAAAUAUCUGGAGGCUGCAACAGCUGGGAUACCUAAAGAAUCUCUCCAUGUGGUCUCUCCAGCAUGGUGUCUUCAGGGUAGCUUAUUUUUUUAUAUGGAAGCUCCAAUCUGCCACUGUAUGUGUCCUGAGAAAGAGCCACAAAGAAGCCAUAUAACCUUCUAUGACCCAACACCUUAUAAUUCAGCAGUGCUGCUUCCAUUGCAUCCUAUUAUUCAGAAGAACUGAGUUGUUCAAUGCCAUAUUCAAGAGAGAAAAACUAAACUCUGCUUUCUGAUGGCUAUUGCUCUAGUGUGAAUGUUAUUGCCACUCCAAAAUUGAUGUGUUGGACACCUAAUCCUCAGUGCAACAGUGUUGGCAGGCGGUGCCUGAUGCAAGGUAUUUAGGCAAUGAGGGCUCUGCCCUCAAGGGUUGACUAAUUCCAUUAUGAAAACGGCCUGUGGAGGUGGGUUUCCUCUCUUCUGCUCUUCUGCCAUGUGAGAACGUAGCAUUUCUUUUCUCUGGAGGAUGCAACAAUCAAGGCACCAUCUUGGAAGUAGGAUACAGCCCUCACCAAAUAACUGAACCUGCUGAUGCCUUGAUCUUGGACAUCCCAGCCUCCAGAACUAUGAGACAUAAAUUUCUAUUUUUUAAAAAUAAAUUACCUAGUCUCAGGCAUUCUGUUGUAACAGCACAAAGAGGACUAACACAACUGGAAUGUCAGAGAAUUAUGGACAUAUUUUAAAAUCUCCUCAAAGACUCAUUUCAUCAUGGGAAAUUCAUUUCUUUAAUGAGAUUUUACAGAGUCUUAUAUCCAAAAUAGAAUAAUUGCUGGUAGUAUAAAGAGCUUCAUUCGUGAUCAGUUCCUUAUAUAACUAGAAAUUGGCACACAAAUCCAUAAAAAAUUAAGCACUGGGAACAUUAGGAGUAGAAAAAAAUAAAUAUCUGCAAAGAGGGACAGGAAAGACUUGCCAGAGCAUAACAAAAGAAAUAGGUGUCCGAUGAAGAAAGAGCUGCCAAAAGGCAAAAUAAAUGGCAGGUCAGCGUGGCAUUCCUGAGCUGCAGCUUCUGUUGUGCCACCAGCCUUCAGUGUGACUUUGGUUGACAGGCCACUUCCCCUCUGGGACCUCUGUGUCCUCAUUUGGAAAGUACAAUAUUGAACUAGAUAAUUUCAAAGGCACCUUAUGGCUCUGAUAUUCUGCAAUCCCAUUAUUAUUACUUUAAAUGCUGAAGCAUUUCCUUAAUAGGGAAGAAAUUAAAUGUCUUAACCCUUGGCUAUUAAUAUCAUCUGUUCCUACAUUUAAUGGGUUGAGAUGAGUCACAGAGGAUGAAAGACACUAUAGCUAAGGAUGUCAGCAGAGGUGACAGCCACUUCUACCUCAGGUGACCAUGGGAAGCAACAGCUGGCAUAUUUUAUACAAUUCAGAUGAGACAGGGAAGAACAAAUGACACCUUUGGGCCUUCAUUGGAAAAAAGUAGUCUAAAAGCAUCAACUGCUAUCCUUUGAUGCUCAGAUACUGCCUCCUAGUUAAUGAAGGCAAAAGUAUAAUUUAAGAGCAGUGGUUAAUGCUUUGACAAAGAAAAGGCGGCCCUGAAGACUUGAUAACCUUUCGUUCUUGUCCCUGAAGAAUUUUUGGAUAUGUUAUGUGCAAAAAACAUUUUUGCAUUUGAUUUAAAAACUAUGCAUUGUCUAUCAUACAUGCUUCUGGGCAGUGGGUUCCAGAGCCUGUUCAUUGUCUUUGAGCUAUUUUGCACCUGUUUUUCAAAUGCAGGUAACUGAUGGAUAUGCAAACUGUGUCUUAUCCAGCAGCAUUUCCAUUGGCUUCCCUCCCCACUGUGGAAAAAGUCUUUUUCCCUCCAUUUGUAAUUCGAUUUCUUGACUCUAUAUGUUUGUGCUUUUUGACAUUUACUUUGAACUAGUUCCUUUAUAUGAGUUAAAUAAAAUCUUUAACAUAUGUUUCA
Molecule: long non-coding RNA, 2479 nt
Filed under: Homo sapiens (human)
Lineage: Eukaryota; Metazoa; Chordata; Mammalia; Primates; Hominidae
Description: HSALNT0034636
Source: RNAcentral